This 544-nucleotide ribosomal RNA is filed under the name uncultured bacterium. Its description in RNAcentral is "bacterial SSU rRNA". It matches the Rfam family "Bacterial small subunit ribosomal RNA", at positions 777 to 1334 of the family's 1533-position model. The record is from RNAcentral.
AAUAGAUACCCAGGUAGUCCACGCCGUAAACGAUGGAUGCUAGCUGUUAUGAGUAUCGACCCUCGUAGUAGCGAAGCUAACGCGUUAAGCAUCCCGCCUGUGGAGUAUGAGCGCAAGCUUAAAACAUAAAGGAAUUGACGGGGACCCGCACAAGCGGUGGAGCGUGUUGUUUAAUUCGAUGAUAAGCGAAGAACCUUACCAAGGCUUGACAUCCCUGGAAUCUUUUCGAAAGAAGAGAGUGCCUUCGGGAAUCAGGUGACAGGUGAUGCAUGGCCGUCGUCAGCUCGUGUCGUGAGAUGUUUGGUUAAGUCCAUUAACGAGCGCAACCCUUGUAAAUAGUUAAAUUUUUCUAUUUAGACUGCCUCGGUAACGGGGAGGAAGGAGGGGAUGAUGUCAGGUCAGUAUUUCCCUUAUGCCUUGGGCCACAAACACGCUACAAUGGCCGGUACAAAGGGCAGCAAACCCGCGAGGGGGAGCAAAUCCCAUCAAAACCGGUCUCAGUUCGGAUAGCAGGCUGAAACUCGCCUGCUUGAAGUCGGAAUCG